Saccostrea cuccullata (small rock oyster) is the source of this 558-nucleotide long non-coding RNA. RefSeq lists it as uncharacterized. The transcript has 3 exons. Lineage: Eukaryota; Metazoa; Mollusca; Bivalvia; Ostreida; Ostreidae. The record is from RefSeq and is a predicted model, not a curated record.
GAUAAUAAGAGGCAUGGUAGGAAGCAGUCAAAGAGUCGUUCUCGGGAGAAGCACCACUCCAGGGAGGAUCAGUAUAGGUCCCGCUCUCGGUCCAGGUCCAGGGAGAGGAGGCGAGCUUACAGUCCCCAAAAAGUGGAGAUGGAGGACGAUUCCUGGGAGUCUUCUACUGAUGUUAUACUGGACAGAUUCAAUUCUGAUUUGAGCCUGAAAACAGGCUGGAUAAACUGAAAUGUUACAACAGCAGUGGAUUUUGUUACAUAGUGCCCAAUUAUCCCCAAUCACAAAGUCAUUAACAGGAAAGACAAAAAAUGAGAGGGAGGGAAGCACUUACCAGAAAAAAGAAGGACCAGGGGGAUCAGGAGAGAGUAAGAAAAUUAAACAGAUGGAUCCAUGCUACGUAUUAGUAAAAGACAUAGAAAAAACUGAAGAAAAAAACCCUCAGGAAACCAAAAGGAAACUACCCCUGAUGAUGGAAAAGGCCCAGAAGAAGAAAAAAAGUGGAGAAAAAAAGCCUCAGGAAAGCAAGAGGAAACUACCCCUGAUGACUGAUAAGGGACA